CGCUGGCGGCGUGCUUAACACAUGCAAGUCGAACGAGGCCCCUUCUUCGGGAGGGUGUUCUAGUGGCGAACGGGUGAGUAACACGUGGGCAACCUGCCCCCGGCUCCGGGAUAACUCCAAGAAAUUGGGGCUAAUACCGGAUAUGACCGCUGACCGCAUGGUCUGGUGGUGGAAAGUUUUUCGGCUGGGGAUGGGCCCGCGGCCUAUCAGCUUGUUGGUGGGGUAGUGGCCUACCAAGGCGACGACGGGUAGCCGGCCUGAGAGGGUGACCGGCCACACUGGGACUGAGACACGGCCCAGACUCCUACGGGAGGCAGCAGUGGGGAAUAUUGCGCAAUGGGCGGAAGCCUGACGCAGCGACGCCGCGUGGGGGAUGACGGCCUUCGGGUUGUAAACCUCUUUCAGCAGGGACGAAGCGCAAGUGACGGUACCUGCAGAAGAAGCACCGGCCAACUACGUGCCAGCAGCCGCGG
RNAcentral lists this ribosomal RNA (473 nucleotides) under bacterium gwi89. RNAcentral describes it as "bacterial SSU rRNA". It matches the Rfam family "Bacterial small subunit ribosomal RNA", at positions 34 to 520 of the family's 1533-position model. The record is from RNAcentral.